RNAcentral lists this ribosomal RNA (455 nucleotides) under uncultured organism. RNAcentral's name for it is "bacterial SSU rRNA". It matches the Rfam family "Bacterial small subunit ribosomal RNA", at positions 346 to 794 of the family's 1533-position model. The record is from RNAcentral.
GUGCACCAGUCGAGAAUUUUUCUCAAUGGGGGAAACCCUGAAGGAGCGACGCCGCGUGGGGGAUGAAUGGCUUCGGCCCGUAAACCCCUGUCAUUUGCGAUCAAACCUUACGACUUAACACGUCGUAAGCUGAUAGUAGCGAAAGAGGAAGGGACGGCUAACUCUGUGCCAGCAGCCGCGGCAAUACAGAGGUCCCAAGCGUUGCUCGGAUUCACUGGGCGUAAAGGGUGCGUAGGCGGUCGGGUAAGUCUGACAUGAAAUCUUCAAGCUCAACUUGGAAACUGCGUCCGAUACUAUUCGGCUAGAGGAAUGGAGGGGAGACUGGAAUACUUGGUGUAGCAGUGAAAUGCGUAGAUAUCAAGUGGAACACCAGUGGCGAAGGCGAGUCUCUGGACAUUUCCUGACGCUGAGGCACGAAAGCCAGGGGAGCAAACGGGAUUAGAUACCCGGGUAGU